Molecule: non-coding RNA, 872 nt
Organism: Pimephales promelas (fathead minnow)
Lineage: Eukaryota; Metazoa; Chordata; Actinopteri; Cypriniformes; Leuciscidae
Source: RefSeq, a predicted model, not a curated record
AUGGGUGCAGUUCAUCAGAGCGGUGAUUCUGCCGUGAAUAAGACCAUCCGUCCGUUACCAAGCAACGGCUCCACUCGCUCCAUCAUCAGUGCCGGCCCGGGAGACGGGUGCAGAAACGUUGUUAUUGAUGGCUCCGUACACCCGUCUAAUCUCUCGGCUGACACAGAGGGUUUAAAUAACCACGAGAGAAAUGAGGACAGAUGCCUACGACUACGCGUGUGUGCCUGUGCCCCCACUGGCAGAAGAGUCAAUUAAAGUUGAGGAAAUUUGGACGGGAGUUGAAAGUCAAAAGUGACGUGGAUAGAAGCCAAUUACUAUGCAAUGUAUUCCAGAUGCUGAGUUCACCUGUUGCUUCAGUGAGUCCUGAGAGAUAGGAGGUGGUCACGUGGGAACAAGGGUGGCCAGACUGUGACAGCCCACCCGUGCCCACGCAUACCCACUUACUUACACACUCUUCAGAGUGAUUAGGACUUUGGCUUAGAUGUCUAAAACCAUGUGCGGUGAAACUGGACUGGUGAGACUGGCCCACAGGGAAGAAAACCCUUCAUCUUCUACAGAUACUAGUCAACUGCUCAUCUCGACACCUGUCUGUCAGGCCAUCACUGAGGUUAAUGAGAAGGGGAACCGAGCCGAAGCCUUACACACUCUUUUCCCCAGCUAUCCGUCGUCUGCCCGGCACUUUCAUCAACUUGACUUGAGGGAGAGGGCCAUUAAGACAGUGACAGAUGAUUAUGCCGACCAACCGCGAUCUGAGAUUGAUAGAUGUGUGUGUGUGCGUGUGUGCGUGCGCGCGCGCUCAUGGGUUCAUUCAUAAGGAGCCACUGUUGCCGUCUUCAAGGUCAUUGAUUCAUGGCUAACCGUCUUGUUAUGUU